CCCAGUUCGGAUUGCAGGCUGCAACCCGCCUGCAUGAAGUUGGAAUUGCUAGUAAUCGCGGAUCAGCAUGCCGCGGUGAAUACGUUCCCUGGCCUUGUACACACCGCCCGUCACACCAUGGGAGCCGGUAAUACCCGAAGUCAGUAGCCUAACCGCAAGGGGGGCGCUGCCGAAGGUAGGAUUGGCGACUGGGGUGAAGUCGUAACAAGGUAAC
Molecule: ribosomal RNA, 214 nt
Filed under: uncultured bacterium
Lineage: Bacteria
Description: partial 16S ribosomal RNA
Rfam family: Bacterial small subunit ribosomal RNA
Source: RNAcentral